This 301-nucleotide unclassified non-coding RNA is filed under the name Hevea brasiliensis (rubber tree). Lineage: Eukaryota; Viridiplantae; Streptophyta; Magnoliopsida; Malpighiales; Euphorbiaceae. The record is from RNAcentral.
UUCCUCUUUUUCAGGUGUAGCAUCGGCGGUUUCUUGCCCCGAGGCAGGGGGGGCUGCGGGGUCUUCGGGCUUCGUCUUCCCCACCCUUGGCCCCCCCGGGCUGUUGCAGCUGAUUCAACCUCAACACUGGCCAUUUGGAAAGCAAAAAUGAAGGAUGUGUGUAAGCUUGAAAGAAUAUAUAGAGAUGGUUUUAAGGAGAGGAAGAAUGCUAGGGAGUGAAGUGAAGAGAUGAUCGAUAUGAGAGCUAUUUAUAGAGAUGUGAAAUGCAUAGCUUAGUUCAUAAGAAUGAGAGGAGUUAAAC